AUUGAACGCUGGCGGCAUGCCUUACACAUGCAAGUCGAACGGUAACAGGUCUUCGGAUGCUGACGAGUGGCGGACGGGUGAGUAAUACAUCGGAACGUGCCUAGGAGUGGGGGAUAACUACUCGAAAGAGUGGCUAAUACCGAAUGAGAUCUACGGAUGAAAGCAGGGGAUCGCAAGACCUUGUGCUACUAGAGCGGCCGAUGGCAGAGUAGGUAGUUGGUGGGAUAAAAGCUUACCAAGCCGACGAUCUGUAGCUGGUCUGAGGGGACGAUCAGCCACACUGGGACUGGGACACGGCCAGACUCCUACUGGAGGCAGCAGUGGGGAAUUUUGGACAAUGGGCGCAAGCCUGAUCCAGCAAUGCCGCGUGCAGGAUGAAGGCCUUCGGGUUGUAAACUGCUUUUGUACGGAACGAAAAGCCCUGGGUUAAUACCCUGGGGUCAUGACGGUACCGUAAGAAUAAGCACCGGCUAACUACGUGCCAGCAGCCGCGGUAA
RNAcentral lists this ribosomal RNA (497 nucleotides) under uncultured bacterium. RNAcentral describes it as "partial 16S ribosomal RNA". It matches the Rfam family "Bacterial small subunit ribosomal RNA", at positions 30 to 523 of the family's 1533-position model. The record is from RNAcentral.